GCCUGGGUGGCUCAGUGGGUAAAGCGUCCGACUUCAGCUCGGGUCAUGAUCUCACGGUUUGUGGGUUUGGGCCCCACAUCAGGCU
RNAcentral lists this transfer RNA (85 nucleotides) under Felis catus (domestic cat). It matches the Rfam family "tRNA". From Rfam's summary of the family: Transfer RNA (tRNA) molecules are approximately 80 nucleotides in length. Their secondary structure includes four short double-helical elements and three loops (D, anti-codon, and T loops). Lineage: Eukaryota; Metazoa; Chordata; Mammalia; Carnivora; Felidae. RNAcentral also lists the same sequence under 3 other names. The record is from Rfam by way of RNAcentral.